This 73-nucleotide transfer RNA is filed under the name Dehalococcoidia bacterium. RNAcentral describes it as "tRNA-Val". It matches the Rfam family "tRNA". From Rfam's summary of the family: Transfer RNA (tRNA) molecules are approximately 80 nucleotides in length. Their secondary structure includes four short double-helical elements and three loops (D, anti-codon, and T loops). Lineage: Bacteria; Bacillati; Chloroflexota; Dehalococcoidia. RNAcentral also lists the same sequence under 1 other name. The record is from RNAcentral.
GGUUAGCUCAGUUGGUAAGAGUACUGCGUUGACAUCGCAGGGGUCACUGGUUCAAGUCCAGUACCGCCCACCA